CCAUCUCAUAUUGAAAAUUAGAAAUCAAUGAAAGCAAAUACAAACUGUCCAGCUCAGUAACAGAAUCACUUCAGCAUACAAGCAUGACUAGUUGAAAUUCAUAAACAACAUUUUCCAAUCAAAAUUAGAAAUGCUUUCGAUCCUAAAACAAACAAUUGAAAUCUCACCUAAUGCUAUGUCAGUCAUGGCAGCGUAAAUGCGAAGGAUGGCCACUCUAUUCACAGGUGCAAGCCAUUCACAAAAACCUGACGGCUGUGCACCACUAAAACUAGUCUGCUACGUCAUUAUCUAGUUAUAUACAAGCUGUGGUUCUGCCACUGCCUUUCCAGUUGUGUCCUUCCUGCUGCUUGAAGCCCCUGUGCCAAUUGAUUGUCCAUGGACUUCCUGCCCUGCCUUGUCAAUUGCAAUCUGCGCGUCGCGGCACUCGGGACU
Molecule: long non-coding RNA, 432 nt
Filed under: Populus tremula
Lineage: Eukaryota; Viridiplantae; Streptophyta; Magnoliopsida; Malpighiales; Salicaceae
Description: long non-coding RNA (PTRE_LNC002300)
Source: RNAcentral